UACGGAGGGUGCAAGCGUUAUCCGGAUUUACUGGGUUUAAAGGGUGCGUAGGCGGGCUUUUAAGUCAGUGGUGAAAACUCCGAGCUUAACUCGGAAACUGCCAUUGAUACUAUUAGUCUUGAAUUUAGUUGAGGUUGGCGGAAUGUGUCGUGUAGCGGUGAAAUGCUUAGAUAUGACACAGAACACCGAUUGCGAAGGCAGCUGGCUAAACUAAAAGUGACGCUGAGGCACGAAAGUGUGGGGAUCAAACAGG
RNAcentral lists this ribosomal RNA (253 nucleotides) under uncultured bacterium. RNAcentral's name for it is "partial 16S ribosomal RNA". It matches the Rfam family "Bacterial small subunit ribosomal RNA", at positions 524 to 776 of the family's 1533-position model. The record is from RNAcentral.